Molecule: long non-coding RNA, 302 nt
Filed under: Elaeis guineensis (African oil palm)
Lineage: Eukaryota; Viridiplantae; Streptophyta; Magnoliopsida; Arecales; Arecaceae
Description: long non-coding RNA (EGUI_LNC014353)
Source: RNAcentral
GAUGGUUUGCAUUUCUCCGCCUGACUGCAUUUCAUUCCCAAAAGCUUGCUUCUACCAUAUGAUUCCCUAUCAUUAUUUCUUGUAGAGUUUAAGGGGGCUAACUUUAAUUGGUCCUAGGCAAAAUAUUCUUUAGCUAGGUCAUAAGAUCAAUUCUCACCUUUGAUUUCUUGGUCAAUUUUAGGUGGCCCAUGACUAUUAGCCUUUCAAUUAUUUGUGGAGCUGAUUGUUUCUAUCGAUGAAUGAACUGACAAUUCGUCAAAAAAGAUGAAUAAAUUGACAAUAAUUUUACUUCUGUUUGCUUU